RNAcentral lists this non-coding RNA (26 nucleotides) under Rattus norvegicus (Norway rat). Lineage: Eukaryota; Metazoa; Chordata; Mammalia; Rodentia; Muridae. The record is from RNAcentral.
UGCCAUGCUUGGGGCAGGCUGUGCUC